ACCUUAGAGACCAACUAAAUUUGUUAUUGGAAUGAGCUUUUGUGUGCAUGCAGUGCUGGUAUCUGAAGAAUUGUGCAUGCACACGAAAGCUCAUACCAAUAACAAACUUAGUUGGUCUCUAAGGU
RNAcentral lists this microRNA precursor (125 nucleotides) under Podarcis lilfordi (Lilford's wall lizard). Lineage: Eukaryota; Metazoa; Chordata; Lepidosauria; Squamata; Lacertidae. The record is from RNAcentral.